Long non-coding RNA from Pseudophryne corroboree (corroboree frog), 584 nucleotides. RefSeq lists it as uncharacterized. The record is from RefSeq and is a predicted model, not a curated record. The transcript has 3 exons. NCBI's taxonomy places the organism in Eukaryota, Metazoa, Chordata, Amphibia, Anura, Myobatrachidae.
UGGUGCGCAUGCACCGAUCCCAGCACCUGUCGGUUUGAUUGCGCAGGUGCCAGUACCCAGCUGAUGGGCUGACAGUCUACUCUCCUCCUCUCUGGGCAGGCAAGGGUAGCAGCAGCCCCCCUACUACCGCCAGGUCCACUCUCAGACAGAAAUCACAUGUGUACAUUAGUGAGUAACCUAUCACCAUCAGUGCUAGGCUGCCAGUAGCACACCAUAGGAUGUAAUGGAGAAUGGAGACACCACUGAACCACACUGGACAGAGUCUGAGGGCAGUUUAGAGGAAGUGGAUGGGAAGAGUUUUCUGGCAUACAUGAUUCCCCUGUUUGUGGCAAUAUCUCUGUGGAAGAAGAAAGUAUUAACACAGGAUGGAAGAUCAGAAGAAAACGAGCAGCGGAUCAGAUCGUUCAGGAACACUGGACAAUAUGUACUUUUCUGAACAAUUUAUUGUUAAGAUGCGUCCAAAUCAUUCCAUGUUCCCUAAAACCGUUGUAGUGUGAGGGUACCUUAAGAGUUGGUGAAAACAUGCAAUACGUAAACUAGUGGGAUAACAGUUGUAGCUGUUGAUAUGAAUAAAUGUUUAUGGA